Plasmodium falciparum (malaria parasite P. falciparum) is the source of this 72-nucleotide non-coding RNA. NCBI's taxonomy places the organism in Eukaryota, Apicomplexa, Aconoidasida, Haemosporida, Plasmodiidae. The record is from Rfam.
GUCAUAAUAGCUCAAUGGUAGAGCAAUGGAUUGAAGAUCCAUGUGUUAUCAGUUCAAAUCUGAUUUUUGACA